Molecule: non-coding RNA, 257 nt
Organism: Pelobates cultripes (western spadefoot toad)
Lineage: Eukaryota; Metazoa; Chordata; Amphibia; Anura; Pelobatidae
Source: the annotation of a GenBank genome assembly
ACCAGGUUCUGAGCCACCGACAGGACUCGAAACCUAUCAACCACCAAUGACCACAGUUUUCCGUCUCCAUGACGUUCAUCCUAGGGAGCCUAUUUCUUCUCCUUCAGCUCCCUAUCCCGCUGCUGUGAAAAAACGGGAUAACCCAAAUCAGCAACCAAAAACUCAGGGAGGAUGGGAGGGACAAAUUCAGCCAGGUAGGAAAUUAAAAGUGAAUCAUUUAAAAUGGAUGCCUAUUUAAAUAGCCAAGCCUACUUACC